Molecule: long non-coding RNA, 490 nt
Organism: Cylas formicarius (sweet potato weevil)
Lineage: Eukaryota; Metazoa; Arthropoda; Insecta; Coleoptera; Brentidae
Exons: 2
Source: RefSeq, a predicted model, not a curated record
CUGCGAUUGCUACAAGUUGAAUUUAUUUAAGUGGAGUGCUUGACGCUUCAAACGGAAAGGCCGAAUGGUCAUAAUUCUUGCCUGAUUUUAGAAGACUAUUUGCCAAUAUUGAUAGAAGUGCCACAUCUAUUUAGAAACAAAUAACCCAUUAAUAAUAUUAUCAACCCAUGUUAACCCAUGGGUAGAUCGCAGCGGACCUCAACCAUGCCCCCCGAGGUCCCCAGAUUUAAAUAGUUUGGACUUUUUCUUAUGAGGACAUGCCGGUAUAAGAACUUCAUGCGAUUUAAUGAGAAACACUGGAGGUGUGCUUUAAAUAGUGCGCGGCAAUAUGAGGGAAACAGCUGAAGCCCGUAUCCUUCAAAUUGGAGGACACUUUCAACAACUUAUCUAGUUUCUAUGUUUCACUUCGUUUCCAAAAGUUUUUUAUUAAUUUAUUAAUCUAAAAUUUUGUUAAAAAAAUUAUUAGUAUCAUUAAAUCAUUUAUUAUUUA